AAGUCGUAACAAGGUUUCCGUAGGUGAACCUGCGGAAGGAUCAUUAACACGUAUCCAACGUUAAAACCCCCUGUGAACCUUCAUUGUGGACCCCCAAAUCAUCGCCGAACAGUUUUGAUUCAGGGACCUCUGCAUGGUUUGGGCAGCUCCGCGAGGCAAGUGGCCUGGCAUUCGUAAGAAUGGCGCAGUCACGAUCGCUAGAGGCCGACACGGCCGGCGACCGGGUCACUGGGCUCUGCCCCCCUAUCACCUUUGCAUGAAACCGGGCCUGCGCUUAAUUGUGCGGCCACCAAACUUCGAACAACUGUUAACAAUGGAUAUCUUGGUUCUC
Molecule: unclassified non-coding RNA, 331 nt
Filed under: fungal sp.
Lineage: Eukaryota; Fungi
Description: partial internal transcribed spacer region
Rfam family: Eukaryotic small subunit ribosomal RNA (bases 1-46)
Source: RNAcentral